AAACUCAAAGGAAUUGACGGGGACCCGCACAAGCGGUGGAUGAUGUGGAUUAAUUCGAUGCAACGCGAAAACCUUACCUACCCUUGACAUGCCUGGAACCCUGGAGAGAUCUGGGGGUGCCCGAAAGGGAGCCGGGACACAGGUGCUGCAUGGCUGUCGUCAGCUCGUGUCGUGAGAUGUUGGGUUAAGUCCCGCAACGAGCGCAACCCUUGUCACUAGUUGCUACGCGAGGGCACUCUAGUGAGACUGCCGGUGACAAACCGGAGGAAGGUGGGGAUGACGUCAAGUCCUCAUGGCCCUUAUGGGUAGGGCUUCACACGUCAUACAAUGGUCGGUACAGAGGGUUGCCAAGCCGCGAGGUGGAGCCAAUCCCAGAAAGCCGAUCGUAGUCCGGAUUGCAGUCUGCAACUCGACUGCAUGAAGUCGGAAUCGCUAGUAAUCGCGGAUCAGCAUGUCGCGGUGAAUACGUUCCCGGGUCUUGUACACACCGCCCGUCACACCAUGGGAGUGGGGUUCACCAGAAGUAGGUAGCCUAACCGCGAGGGGGGCGCUUACCACGGUGAGCUUCAUGACUGGGGUGAAGUCGUAACAAGGUAGCCGUAUCGGAAGGUGCGGCUGGAUCACCUCCUUUCUG
This 634-nucleotide ribosomal RNA is filed under the name uncultured Azospira sp. RNAcentral describes it as "bacterial SSU rRNA". It matches the Rfam family "Bacterial small subunit ribosomal RNA", at positions 897 to 1533 of the family's 1533-position model. Lineage: Bacteria; Pseudomonadati; Pseudomonadota; Betaproteobacteria; Rhodocyclales; Rhodocyclaceae. The record is from RNAcentral.